RNAcentral lists this transfer RNA (74 nucleotides) under Candidatus Brocadiia bacterium. Its description in RNAcentral is "tRNA-Arg". It matches the Rfam family "tRNA". Rfam says of the family: Transfer RNA (tRNA) molecules are approximately 80 nucleotides in length. The record is from RNAcentral. Lineage: Bacteria; Pseudomonadati; Planctomycetota; Candidatus Brocadiia.
GCGCCCGUAGCUCAGGAGGAUAGAGCGUCGGUUUCCUAAACCGAAGGCCGCUGGUUCGAAUCCAGCUGGGCGCA